This is a long non-coding RNA of Lolium rigidum, 795 nucleotides long. RefSeq lists it as uncharacterized. NCBI's taxonomy places the organism in Eukaryota, Viridiplantae, Streptophyta, Magnoliopsida, Poales, Poaceae. The record is from RefSeq and is a predicted model, not a curated record. The transcript is spliced from 3 exons.
UCUGUUUUUUCCAAAUGUGAAUUCUUAUGUAGAAUGUUUUGCUUCCGACUUGCAAUUAGUAAUAGUAAAUGGAUAAUGAAAAUGAAUUUUAUAUCAAUCGCAGUACAACCAUGAAUAUGCUUUCCAUUGUUUCUAAAGAAUAAAUAAAAUCGACAUGCCCUUAUUGCAUUCGCUCUUUGCUUUUGAAGCUUCCAAAAUGCUAAGAGGGGGUCACUAUCGGCAUGGUAAUGCGGCCACAGGUCACGAUUUCUAGGUCCAUGGAUGAGAGUAUGCAGUCCUAGGGAUGGGAUGGUAGCAACAUCGGCAGACAAAACAACCAACGUCUCUUUUUUUGGAUGCAUAAGUAGCACACAUGGUAGAAUAUGCAAUGUGGUGUUGAAAAAAAACGCGUUAACACUAUGGCUUAGAACUCUUUUAGGAUAGUAUCACAAAGAACAUGCAAUGUGGUUUGGGGAGAAUGGACAUAGCAAUUAAACUGCUUUUGUUCCUGCCUUAUUUAUAUUUAAACACACUCCUCGUUUUUGAUGGUUUGUUAUUGUAGGUAGACAUGAUGGAUGAGUAGUAUGCUACUGAUGAAGAUGAUUAAGUACGAUGUCAUCUACUCUCAUUUGGAGUAGGCCGUUAUGUCUGAUCUGUCAGCUUCCCACACAUCUGGAGGGCUCCUUGCGAAAUAUAUUGCGUCUUCUACCAGGAAGGAGAUCACAUCCAUUAUAGUAUCCUGAAGGAAUUUUGGCUCUUGUUGUCAAGAAAUUACUGCAUUAAGUGAGCACAGAGAACAUUUGGCUACAACAGCAC